AGCGAACGCUGGCGGCAGGCUUAACACAUGCAAGUCGAACGGGCAUAGCAAUAUGUCAGUGGCAGACGGGUGAGUAACGCGUGGGAACAUACCUCUUGGUUCGGAACAACACAGGGAAACUUGUGCUAAUACCGGAUAAGCCCUUACGGGGAAAGAUUUAUCGCCGAGAGAUUGGCCCGCGUCUGAUUAGCUAGUUGGUAGGGUAAUGGCCUACCAAGGCGACGAUCAGAGCUGGUCUGAGAGGAUGAUCAGCCACAUUGGGACUGAGACACGGCCCAAACUCCUACGGGAGGCAGCAGUGGGGAAUAUUGGACAAUGGGCGCAAGCCUGAUCCAGCCAUGCCGCGUGAGUGAUGAAGGCCCUAGGGUUGUAAAGCUCUUUUGUA
Molecule: ribosomal RNA, 385 nt
Filed under: uncultured bacterium
Lineage: Bacteria
Description: bacterial SSU rRNA
Rfam family: Bacterial small subunit ribosomal RNA
Source: RNAcentral